UACGAAGGGGGCUAGCGUUGCUCGGAAUUACUGGGCGUAAAGGGCGCGUAGGCGGGUCGUUUAGUUAGAGGUGAAAGCCCAGGGCUCAACCCUGGAAUUGCCUUUAAUACUGGCGGCCUUGAGUAUGGCAGAGGUGUGUGGAACUCCGAGUGUAGAAGUGAAAUUCGUAGAUAUUCGGAAGAACACCAGUGGCGAAGGCGACACACUGGGCCAUUACUGACGCUGAGGCGCGAAAGCGUGGGGAGCAAACAGG
RNAcentral lists this ribosomal RNA (253 nucleotides) under uncultured bacterium. Its description in RNAcentral is "partial 16S ribosomal RNA". It matches the Rfam family "Bacterial small subunit ribosomal RNA", at positions 524 to 776 of the family's 1533-position model. The record is from RNAcentral.